UGGAACUUUACAAGGAUGGUUCUCCUGACAUUGUCAAUGAGUUCAUUGAUUUCAGCCAGAAAGGUCACUUCAAAGGGAUGCAAUUUACUCGUGUAGUAAAGAACUUUGUCAUUCAAGGUAGUAAAAUUGAAAACUCUGAAGCUACAGAAGAUUGGACAUCGAGGGGAAAACAUUACAGCCAACUAAACACAAGUCUUAAGCAUGAAGCAUUUAUGCUUGGUACUUCCAAAGCGACACAUGAAGGUGGAGGAUUUGAUCUAUUUAUUACAACUGCACCAAUACCAGAUUUGAAUGACAAGAUUAAUAUCUUUGGGCGUGUCAUCAAGGGAGAAGAUGUCGUGCAGGAAAUCGAAGAAGUAGAUACAGAUGACCACUAUCGACCCAAAACUCCUGUACAAAUCAAUGAAGUAACUCUCAAGCACAAAACCUGAACUGUCUAUCUAUGAGAUGCACUUACUUGACAUCGAUGAACAUAAGCAGGCAUCAUCAUAAGUAGAGUUGCUAACUGUGGGUUUGAUGUAAGAUAUGGAUUUCAUUUGUGUAAUUUGGCUAGGCUCCUCCCCAAAAUUUUGUGUUAAAU
This 580-nucleotide unclassified non-coding RNA is filed under the name Hevea brasiliensis (rubber tree). Lineage: Eukaryota; Viridiplantae; Streptophyta; Magnoliopsida; Malpighiales; Euphorbiaceae. The record is from RNAcentral.